CACCAACACAGAAAAAAAUUCUUAUAUAAUUUUAUUGUUUAUCAACAACUUUAUCAUAUUUUGCAUGCACUGGCUAACGUUUGGUAAAAAUUUGAUGAAAAUCGGACUGAUUUUGAGCGCGCAGUAGCGAUUUUCCACAAAACGCCAAAAAGGGUGUACUGUAACCUUAAACUUAAAGUUUAUGUAAAACAGCAUGAUUCUGUAUCAGAUAUACAAACUCCUGCACGCCCUUGAUUUCUUAUUUGUUUUCUUCAUGAAUUAUUAGAGAGUUUAAGCUUUGCGUUAUACUCAAACGGCAAACGCCAGGCAAAGAAAAAUUUUACGGUAUCAGGCAAUAAAGAGUAAAUGAACUUGCUGUUUUAAAACUGAAAUACAUAAUUAUUUUUUCGACGCAAGAAUGAAAAUAUGAAACGAAAACGUUCAACGAAAAUUUUGCCAAGAAAGUUCGAACCUGCCGUUUGCCUUUGUCUGGCUCUAAGAGUUUAGUAGGGUGCAUCAUGGCGCUUUGCUACUUGGGCUCACCCAGUCAGAGCGAGCACCGAAAACCUCUGAGAUUGUGAGUUCGAGACUCGCUGUAUGGACUCAUGUGAAAGGAGUCUGUCCAGGGACGCCGGAACUGGGGGGCAGGAGGGGCAGCCGCCCCCGUUGCCCUUUACCAGGAGGGGCAAGGGGGGCAAAGGUGCCCUUUCAAUUUAAAGGAUUGCCUUGGCGAAAUAGCGAAUUGUCAGAAAUGUUAGUGCAAUUCCUUUACGAAUUUGCUUCAGAAAACGCAAGAAAUGCAGUCAUCGAGCUUCAAGAAUAGCGCAAGCGCAUGGCGGAGAACCCCCUCACACCCCUAUCAUCCAAUAAAUAGAAAACAUGAUUAGGCGAAGUUCAACUCCCGAUGUUUUGGAAACAUCUCUUAGUAUAUAUCAAUUCAAAAGUGCCCUUUCACGAAAAUCUGCCCCCCUUGCCUUCACAUCGUUCUGGCGUCCCCGAGUCUGUCAACGCUCUGCCGAAAGUCGUAGGUUUUCUCUGGGAACUCCGGUUUCAUCCCACAGGGAAAGUUGUCAGGGUGGGUUAGGAUAAACAUAGUUAAGAAAGUAAUCACAAUAGACCUUUCCCAUUAUGAGUGAAAUUUUGAUCUAGAUAUGCCUGGACAAGAAUUUCAUCGCAGCUUGCUUCCGCUGCACAUUUACUUGGUUCCAAAUGGUUAAAUUCAACAAGCAAAAUGCGUUUGUCAUGGUUUUUGAACGGUCAUCCCGACGUUUCGCAACAUACAAAUGCUAAUCUUUUCCUAAUCGUUCAGAACUUUAUUGUGAACACUAAACGCUUUUGUUAAAAUCAAGAACACUUUUCAGCCAUGACUUGCGGUAAUGUUCAUCUUGUAAGAUAGAAGACGCUGUUAAUUCUGCAGGUGCAUGGCUAUUUGUGUGUCAAAAUUUAUUUUAUUCUUAUUCUCAUACGUUUCGUUACCACUCUAUAUUUAUUAAUUUCAAUGCAAACUACGUAUUUAUUAAUGUCAGGCCUAGCUUUCCCUACGGUUUUCGGAAAAAUUGCCAUUUCUUUUUUUUUUAAUUAAAUAUUGUUUAUAUGCAUGGAAAGAGCAUUACAAAAUGAGUAAUAUUCCGAAGUUUCGUUACGAAAUGUUUUAAAAUGUGGAUAAUAUAGCCUUGCGAAGUUUGCAAUUUUCAGUCAUUUUGUAUUACAAAUGGGAAAUUGAUAAUCAGUUUGACCAUCUGAUUAUCAAUUUCCCGGACGUAAUACAAAAUGACUGAAAAACGGCAAAUUUCGCAAGGCUAUAUUAUCCGCAUUUUACAACAUUUCGCAACGAAACUUUGGAAUAUUACUAAUUUUGUGAUGCUCUUUCACGCUGUGAUGAAAUGUUUGUCCAGACUUGUUUAGAUCAAAAUUUCACUCAAAAGGUCUAUUGUUGUGAAAAUAAAUAAUCUAAGCUUAGUAGGUAAUAUAAGUAAGCGUAAUACUUGAUGUAAUCGGUCAGUAAAAAGCCCCGUUGGGGAGUGGGAUGAAUAAUCAAAAUCGUAAUCAAUCAUAAUCAAAAAGUGAAGGUGUUUAUAGAGUCAAAUCCGCAUUUACAAACGAGCAUGAAACAAGGCCGGAUUUUGGUGGAAAUAGUGGGGGAGGUGGAAAAAAAUUUAGGGGAGGUGCAGCGGUCUAGCUCACGACCCCCAUCACUCUCCUCCACAGAAUCUGAAUUAUAUAGGUUUGUAGGGAUAUCCCCCCCCCCCUUAAUAUUACGCAAUUUUACUAAAAAUUCGUAAGGCUCUGCGGAGGAGAGUGGACCCCCAUGGAAAGUUAGGGCUUAGAACGGGCCAAAAUCAACGACGUGACGUAUGCAUGUAGUGUACAUAUGUGAGUGUAUUAAUGAAUUAUGACUGUACAACUCAUCCAAUUUUGCCCUUCAUUACAAUUACUACAAAGUUUCUUUCAAAACAUUAAAAUGGCACUUGACACAGAGAUAAAUAUAUCACUGUUUCAGUUUUUACAGAAAAAUUUUCAUACGAAUUGUAGACCCUAAGCAACCGAAAAGUAACAAUUUCCACUUUGAUCUAUCAUUGCAAAAAUUCUGGAUAGAACUAGAAUUUGAAUGUAAAAUUUAUACUUUUUUAGACGUAACCUGGACUAGUUACGAAAAAUGCGACUAUAGGACCACUGGC
This is a non-coding RNA of Paramuricea clavata, 2657 nucleotides long. NCBI's taxonomy places the organism in Eukaryota, Metazoa, Cnidaria, Anthozoa, Malacalcyonacea, Plexauridae. The record is from the annotation of a GenBank genome assembly.